This 446-nucleotide ribosomal RNA is filed under the name uncultured bacterium. RNAcentral describes it as "SSU rRNA". It matches the Rfam family "Bacterial small subunit ribosomal RNA", at positions 26 to 518 of the family's 1533-position model. The record is from RNAcentral.
AGAGCGAACGCUGGCGGCAGGCCUAACACAUGCAAGUCGAGCGCCCGUAGCAAUACGGGAGCGGCAGACGGGAUAGUAACACGUGGGAACGCGCCCUUCGGUUCGGAAUAACUCAGGGAAACUUGAGCUAAUACCGAAUACGCCCUUACGGGGAAAGAUUUAUUGCCGAAGGAACGGCCCGCGUCCGAUUAGCUAGUUGGUGAGGUAAUGGCUCACCAAGGCUACGAUCGGUAGCUGGUCUGAGAGGAUGACCAGCAUCACUGGGACUGAGACACGGCCCAGACUCCUACGGGAGGCAGCAGUGGGGAAUAUUGGACAAUGGGCGAAAGCCUGAUCCAGCCAUGCCGCGUGGAUGAUGAAGGCCUUAGGGUUGUAAAGUCCUUUUAACGGGGAGAUAAUGACGGUACCGUAGAAUAAGCCCCGGCUAACUUCGUGCCAGCAGCCGC